Molecule: long non-coding RNA, 149 nt
Organism: Sander lucioperca (pikeperch)
Lineage: Eukaryota; Metazoa; Chordata; Actinopteri; Perciformes; Percidae
Exons: 3
Source: RefSeq, a predicted model, not a curated record
GGUCACUGACACGUACGGGUAUACCUCUUCCCGUCAUGGUAAUCUGUCGCGCUGGUCGUGUCUGACCAUUUGUUUGUCGGACGUAGCAACAGUAACUAAGGGGGGCGGGGCUCGGCGAAAGGCUAAUUCCUUUCUGAAACUACAAAAUA